This 321-nucleotide ribosomal RNA is filed under the name uncultured bacterium. RNAcentral's name for it is "bacterial SSU rRNA". It matches the Rfam family "Bacterial small subunit ribosomal RNA", at positions 1062 to 1381 of the family's 1533-position model. The record is from RNAcentral.
GUGUCGUGAGAUGUUGGGUUAAGUCCCGCAACGAGCGCAACCCCUGUCCCAUGUUGCCAGCGGGUCAUGCCGGGGACUCGUGGGAGACUGCCGGGGUCAACUCGGAGGAAGGUGGGGAUGACGUCAAGUCAUCAUGCCCCUUAUGUCCUGGGCCGCAAACAUGCUACAAUGGCCGGUACAGAGGGCUGCGACCCCGCGAGGGUGAGCGAAUCCCAAAAAGCCGGUCUCAGUUCGGAUCGUAGUCUGCAACUCGACUGCGUGAAGUCGGAGUCGCUAGUAAUCGCAGAUCAGCCACGCUGCGGUGAAUACGUUCCCGGGCCU